GGGUUCUCUGUCUAGAUCUUUUGCAUGGGGGAUCUUGGAAAACCAGCAAACCUACAUGGCUGGCGUAGCUACACAAACAAAAGCCUUUUUAUCCCCCGGUUUCCGAGCUUAAGUUUUCCCAAAGCUCUCAGCCCAGUGCAGAGAGACUGUACGUCCUGUACUUGAUCAAGUACUGCACACACAGUCUCUCUGCACUGGGCUGUGAGCUUUGGAAAAUAUAAAAGAUACCCGUGGGAGCAUUUUUUAGUCAUGAAGCUUCAGACUUAAGUCAGACUCUUCAUCUAUCUUCAUCUAGCUAUCCAUGCCUACAUACCUAAUCUAUCCAGAUAGACAGACAAACAGACAGAUGGGUAGUUGUAUACAAACAGACAGACAGCCCAAUGGCAUACUCCAGGCCGGUUCCGGCCCGGUUCCGACCUAACGGGUCCAGUUAACGAGAUGGGUAACCGGUCGGUAGGAUUACCGGGCGAACCGUUAUCCGUUAACCGUCCCCAGUAAUCGGUAACCGAUGUCGGUAACCUGGCAUGAGGAAAAAUGCAUUUCUGAUUGCAACCAGUUUCUUUGUGACAAUGCCCAUUGUCACAAGGUUCAUGCCCACGUGUCACACCCCGACAAGCUUAGGAGGUUAAGGCAAUGUGAAUGCCGGGUGACAGGGGUGACAGUCUUGUGCAGGCACAUUUGGAGACUAGUUUACACUGAGAUUGGGGUGAUGUUGGAUUAGAAUACUUGCAGUUCAUGAAAUUGAGGAAAUGUGUUGCAUAGGCAUAUCCAAACGUUUCAGAGGGACGUUGUUUCGCCCGUAACAAACUUGUUACGGGCGAAACAAACUGGAUUUCCACAGUCCCACCACUCAAAGAGCUCCCCACACCAUCGCAAAGUCCCUUUUUUAUUACAGACACAUGUAACGAGUUGUCAUAGCUUGAGAUUGUCGAUAUAUGACUGCUGGAUUGUGACCAGGCCAUCUCCUUACAUGUCUUGCUGCACCAGCAUGAGCAGUGAUCCCUUCUGUUCAAAAUUUUCAGGCAACAUCGCAAUGAGGCAANNNNNNNNNNNNNNNNNNNNNNNNNNNNNNNNNNNNNNNNNNNNNNNNNNNNNNNNNNNNNNNNNNNNNNNNNNNACGGUCGGUAACCGGCAUGUUUAUACCAUAGGGCAGACAGGCAGACACAAGCAGGUGAUGUUGGGGUAACAAAAACACACAGACAACCACACAAUCACAGCACUGUUGGGGCACAUGGUGGAGUUGGGGUAACAUGAAAACAUGCACACACACAGACAGAGAGAGAGACACACACACACACACAGAGAGAGAGAGAGAGAGACACACACACACACACAGAGACACACACAUACACGCAUACAAGCACACAGAGAGAGAGACACACACAUACAUACACACACACAGAGUCUCACACACAUACACACACACACACACACAGUCUCACACACACAGUCACACACACAUACACGCACACAGUCACACACACACACAGUCUCACACAUACAUGUACACACACACACAUUGUAGCAAGCUACAUUUCCCAUAGAAUAUUUCAACGAUUACUCUUGACAAUAACUGUUAAUUCGUUAAUGAUUCGACUCGAGUUUUGUACAUGUUAUGAGUUUCGUCACAUGUCUCGAACAUGGCGGUUGUUCGCAGCAAACCCUUAGAAUACUUCAACGAUUACUCUUGACAAUAACUGUUAUUUCGUUAAUGAUUCGACCCGAGUUUCGUACAUGUUACGAGUUUCGUCACAUGUCUCGAACAUGGCGGUUGUUCGUAGCAAACCUAAUGGGCUGGGGCCCCGGGGCCCCACCGACAUUAUCCUAGUACGGCAGGACCAUGGUAGGGAAUGUCCGGCAGGUAGGCCGAGAUAUAAGCUACCCGGGCGGGGUGCACUGGCCAGACACUGAAGUAUCACGAAUACUAGGUGUUCGGAGUUCAAGUCUCCGCUGCCGCCAUAUAGAUUGUUUUUGUAUACGCGUCUAUGCAGACUAGUGCUUGCCUCGGCGAGGACUGUCAACUCAACGCUUCCGGGUAACAGGCUGUUGGGAGUUAGAGAUUGAUCAACGUCAUGACCAACCUAACAGCUGUGAGCACACAGCACGCACCUGCAGGCUUUGUGACUGCAGGGCGGUUCAAGGCGAAAUGCAUGCCUUUGUGAAAUGCCCGGUGUACACUAGUACACGGGCUAAGUACGAACAUGACCUCGCGUUUCAAGGGUUCAACGUGCACACGAUUUCACUGAGGCCCCACCCCUGGCACUAGCCAGGUUCCCCUCGGAAGUCUGGGAGACCCGGCACGUUGCUCUAUGGCGCUUCAUAUGCUCAAGUGGACGAGGGAGGACAAUGAUGGUCCACCAUGUAACUGCACUUCAAACGAUUUACCGUCCAUGGGCACGCCAGCUUUUAUGGACAACCCCGCACUUGUAUGGAACUUGUAACACACUCAAACACAUACAAAGACAGACACACAGACACACCCACCCACCCAUUUCAGUCAAACACACACACACACACAGACAGACAGACACACGGACAGACAAACAGAGACAGACAAAAGGAGAGACACANNNNNNNNNNNNNNNNNNNNNNNNNNNNNNNNNNNNNNNNNNNNNNNNNNUCUCCGAGCUUAAGUUUUCCCAAAGCUCUCAGCCCAGUGCAGAGAGACUGUACGUCCUGUACUUGAUCAAGUACUGCACAUACAGUCUCUCUGCACUGGGCUGUGAGCUUUGGAAAAUAUAAAAGAUACCCGUGGGAGCAUUUNUUAGUCAUGAAGCUUCAGACUUAAGUCAGACUCUUCAUCUAUCUUCAUCUAGCUAUCCAUGCCUACGUACCUAAUCUAUCGAGAUAGACAGACAAACAGACAGAUGGGUAGUUGUAUACAAACAGACAGACAGACAGGCAGACACAAGCAGGUGAUGUUGGGGUAACAAAAACACACAGACAACCACACAAUCACAGCACUGUUGGGGCACAUGGUGGAGUUGGGGUAACAUGAAAACAUGCACACACACAGACAGAGAGAGAGAGACACACACACACACACACACACAGAGAGAGAGAGACACACACACACACACACAGACACACACACACACACAGAGAGACACACACACACAUAGACACACACACACACACAGAGAGAGACACAUACACGCACACAAGCACACAGAGAGAGAGAGACACACACACAUAGAUACACACACAGAGUCUCACACACACACAGAGUCUCACACACACAGUCACACACACAUACACGCACACAGUCACACACACACAGUCUCACACAUACAUGUACACACACAUUGUAGCAAGCUACAUUUCCCAUAGAAUAUUUCAACGAUUACUCUUGACAAUAACUGUUAAUUCGUUAAUGAUUCGACUCGAGUUUUGUACAUGUUAUGAGUUUCGUCACAUGUCUCGAACAUGGCGGUUGUUCGCAGCAAACCCUUAGAAUACUUCAACGAUUACUCUUGACAAUAACUGUUAUUUCGUUAACGAUUCGACCCGAGUUUCGUACAUGUUACGAGUUUCGUCACAUGUCUCGAAUAUGGCGGUUGUUCGUAGCAAACCUAAUGGGCUGGGGCCCCGGGGCCCCACCGACAUUAUCCUAGUACUGCAGGACCAUGGUAGGGAAUGUCCGGCAGGUAGGCCGAGAUAUAAGCUACCCGGGCGGGGUGCACUGGCCAGACACUGAAGUAUCACGAAUACUAGGUGUUCGGAGUUCAAGUCUCCGCUGCCGCCAUAUAGAUUGUUUUUGUAUACGCGUCUAUGCAGACUAGUGCUUGCCUCGGCGAGGACUGUCAACUCAACGCUUCCGGGUAACAGGCUGUUGGGAGUUAGAGAUUGAUCAACGUCAUGACCAACCUAACAGCUGUGAGCACACAGCACGCACCUGCAGGCUUUGUGACUGCAGGGCGGUUCAAGGCGAAAUGCAUGCCUUUGUGAAAUGCCUGGCGUACACUAGUACACGGGCCAAGUACGAACAUGACCUCGCGUUUCAAGGGUACAACGUGCGCACGAUUUGACUGAGGCCCCACCCCUGGCACUAGCCAGGUUCCCCUCGGAAGUCUGGGAGACCCGGCACGUUGCUCUAUGGCGCUUCAUAUGCUCAAGUGGACGAGGGAGGACAAUGAUGGUCCACCAUGUAACUGCACUUCAAACGAUUUACCGUCCAUGGGCACGCCAGCUUUUAUGUACAACCCCGCACUUGUAUGGAACUUGUAACACUACAGACAGACAGAGACAGACCGACAGACAGAGACAGGCAGACAGACAGACAGACAGACAGACAGACAGACGUCCUUGGUGGAGUCCCAUGGUGGAGUACUCCUCAGGCUACAUCAACGCUUGUGGCACCAGCUCGAUUUCUUCUCUCUCUCUGUCUCUUCUCUCUCUUCUCUCUUUCUGUCUGUGUGUGUAAACACUCAUGUGGUACACACACACGCCCCCCAUGUACACACAAGCAGGCGAUGUUGGGGUAACAAUAAAACACACAACCACCCACACACAACCUCACACGCACACACAUGACUGUUGGGGUACAUGGUAGUGUUGGGGUAACAUGAAACACACGCAAUCACAGUCCUGAUGGGGCACAUGAUGGGGUUGGGGUAACAUGAAAACAUGCACACACACGGCCACAGAACUAUUCGGGUAUAUGUUGGUGUUGGGGUAACAUAAGACACAGAGACACACAGACAGACAGAGACAGAGAGACACAAACUCACACACACAGAGUCACACAGAGUCACACAGAGUCACACACAGUCACACACAGAGGCACAGAGACACACAUACAUAAACAGAGACACACACAGUCAAACGCACACAAAGACAGACACACACAGUCAAACACACACUAAGACAGAGACACAUACAUACACACAAAGACAGAGACACACACACACACACACACAUACACACAUACACACAUACACACAGACAUACUCACACACAUAAACCUGCCUGUCAUGCAUUAUUCUUCUACAUCAUAUCCUGUCAGCCAAACAUC
RNAcentral lists this long non-coding RNA (5014 nucleotides) under Volvox carteri. RNAcentral describes it as "long non-coding RNA (VCAR_LNC002955)". Lineage: Eukaryota; Viridiplantae; Chlorophyta; Chlorophyceae; Chlamydomonadales; Volvocaceae. The record is from RNAcentral.